AGAUCCCACGGAAGGAAUGAUGUUCCAGUUGAGACUCAAGAAAAGGAUUCUGAGCCUUAGAGCUUUGAAGCAGCCAGUUGGUCACUGACCUUCCUUGAGGCAAA
This is a small nucleolar RNA of Ursus americanus (American black bear), 104 nucleotides long. Ensembl annotates it as small nucleolar RNA, C/D box 124. Its record names the gene SNORD124. Lineage: Eukaryota; Metazoa; Chordata; Mammalia; Carnivora; Ursidae. The record is from Ensembl.